RNAcentral lists this transfer RNA (76 nucleotides) under Rubrivirga litoralis. RNAcentral's name for it is "tRNA-Gln". It matches the Rfam family "tRNA". From Rfam's summary of the family: Transfer RNA (tRNA) molecules are approximately 80 nucleotides in length. Their secondary structure includes four short double-helical elements and three loops (D, anti-codon, and T loops). RNAcentral also lists the same sequence under 1 other name. The record is from RNAcentral. Lineage: Bacteria; Pseudomonadati; Rhodothermota; Rhodothermia; Rhodothermales; Rubricoccaceae.
UGCCCGAUAGCUCAAUUGGCAGAGCGCCAGUUUCUGGAUCUGGAGGUUCAAGGUUCGAUUCCUUGUCGGGCAGCCA